UGAGAGUGCCGGGCUGUCGCGCGAUUUGAACGAAAGUUGAAGCGUGAGGAAAGUCCGGGCUUCGCAGGGCAAGGGUGCCGGCUAACGGCCGGUGGAGGCGACUUUAAGGAAAGUGCAACAGAAAGAUACCGCCUCGUCAGAGGUAAGGGUGAAAUGGUGAGGUAAGAGCUCACCGAUCAACCGGAGACGGAUUGGUCCUGUAAACCCCACCCGAAGCAACACCGUGGAGAGACAAUACGGCGGCCCGCCGGUCUCGGGGAGGUGGCUAGAGCGUUUCGGCGACGAUACGCCCAGACAGAUGGCAGUCGAACACAGAACCCGGCUUACAGGCACUCUCGGAAU
This 342-nucleotide RNase P RNA is filed under the name Clostridiaceae bacterium. Its description in RNAcentral is "RNase P RNA component class A". It matches the Rfam family "Bacterial RNase P class A". From Rfam's summary of the family: Ribonuclease P (RNase P) is a ubiquitous endoribonuclease, found in archaea, bacteria and eukarya as well as chloroplasts and mitochondria. Its best characterised activity is the generation of mature 5'-ends of tRNAs by cleaving the 5'-leader elements of precursor-tRNAs. The record is from RNAcentral. Lineage: Bacteria; Bacillati; Bacillota; Clostridia; Eubacteriales; Clostridiaceae.